This 253-nucleotide ribosomal RNA is filed under the name uncultured bacterium. RNAcentral's name for it is "partial 16S ribosomal RNA". It matches the Rfam family "Bacterial small subunit ribosomal RNA", at positions 524 to 776 of the family's 1533-position model. The record is from RNAcentral.
UACUAAGGGGGCUAGCGAUGUUCGGAAGCACUGGGCGUAAAGCGCACGCAGGCGGAUCGAUAAGUCGGGGGUGAAAGCCCGGGGCUCAACCUCGGAAUUGCCUUCGAUACUGUCGGUCUCGAGUCCGGGAGAGGUGAGUGGAAUUCCUAGUGAAGAGGUGAAAUUCGUAGAUAUUAGGAAGAACACCAGUGGCGAAGGCGGCGCACUGGCCCGGUACUGACGGUCAGGUGCGAAAGCGUGGGGAGCAAACAGG